UCCUACGGGAGGCAGCAGUGGGGAAUAUUGGACAAUGGGGGAAACCCUGAUCCAGCGACGCCGCGUGAGUGAAGAAGUAUUUCGGUAUGUAAAGCUCUAUCAGCAGGGAAGAAAAUGACGGUACCUGACUAAGAAGCCCCGGCUAACUACGUGCCAGCAGCCGCGGUAAUACGUAGGGGGCAAGCGUUAUCCGGAUUUACUGGGUGUAAAGGGAGCGUAGACGGCAUAGCAAGUCUGAUGUGAAAGAUCGGGGCUCAACCCCCGGACUGCUCUGGAAACUGUAUGGCUGGAGUGCAGGAGAGGUA
RNAcentral lists this ribosomal RNA (305 nucleotides) under uncultured bacterium. RNAcentral describes it as "bacterial SSU rRNA". It matches the Rfam family "Bacterial small subunit ribosomal RNA", at positions 337 to 659 of the family's 1533-position model. The record is from RNAcentral.